GUUGACCUCGGAUCAGGUAGGGAUACCCGCUGAACUUAAGCAUAUCAAUAAGCGGAGGAAAAGAAACCAACAGGGAUUACCUCAGUAACGGCGAGUG
This 97-nucleotide ribosomal RNA is filed under the name Mastigosporium album. Its description in RNAcentral is "partial 28S ribosomal RNA". It matches the Rfam family "Eukaryotic large subunit ribosomal RNA", at positions 1 to 95 of the family's 3401-position model. The record is from RNAcentral. Lineage: Eukaryota; Fungi; Ascomycota; Leotiomycetes; Helotiales.